Molecule: ribosomal RNA, 455 nt
Filed under: Oxystele sinensis (rosy-base top shell)
Lineage: Eukaryota; Metazoa; Mollusca; Gastropoda; Trochida; Trochidae
Description: partial 16S ribosomal RNA
Rfam family: Bacterial large subunit ribosomal RNA
Source: RNAcentral
AAACGGCCGCGGUACCCUAACCGUGCAAAGGUAGCAUAAUCAUUUGCCUUUUAAUUGGAGGCUGGUAUGAAUGGUUUGACGAGAGCCACGCUGUCUCCCCUAAAAUAUUUAAAAAUUAACUUUUAGGUGAAGAGGCCUAAAUAUAUUUAAGGGACAAGAAGACCCUGUUGAGCUUUAGUUUAGUUACAAAUGAUUAAGUAAAUUUUGUUUAAUUAAAAUAAAAUUAUGUUGUGCUUUGUAUAACGUAAGUUUGUAAUGAAUCUUUAGUUGGGGCGACUGAGGAACAAAAAAAGCUUCUUUUUGAUAAAAUGUUUUGAUAUAUUGAUAAAGGUAUAAAUUAAUUUUUACUAAUUAUUUUGAUCCAAAAUUAUUUUGAUUAAAGGAAAAAGUUACCACAGGGAUAACAGCGUAAUCUUUCUGGAGAGACCUUAUCGAAAGAAGGGUUUGCGACCUCG